RNAcentral lists this unclassified non-coding RNA (206 nucleotides) under Hevea brasiliensis (rubber tree). Lineage: Eukaryota; Viridiplantae; Streptophyta; Magnoliopsida; Malpighiales; Euphorbiaceae. The record is from RNAcentral.
GUGGAAAAUUAUAAGGAACACAAAUCUUGAUUCAGUUUCUUGUCAAAUGCAUAUUUCAGGCAGCUGAUGACAGAUAAAUAUAUGGAUGUUACUGAUUUACAAAUCUACAAGGUAAGCAAUCUCUAACGAUGUUAAGUGGUAAUCCCAAAUAUCAGUCCUGGAAACAAAUGGGGGAAAAUAGCCAUACUGGAUAUGCAGAAGACCAA